Molecule: ribosomal RNA, 751 nt
Filed under: uncultured fungus
Lineage: Eukaryota; Fungi
Description: eukaryotic LSU rRNA
Rfam family: 5.8S ribosomal RNA (bases 344-498)
Source: RNAcentral
AAGUCGUAACAAGGUUUCCGUAGGUGAACCUGCGGAAGGAUCAUUACUGAAGAAAUGCGUAGUUAGUUGAGCUGACUCCUUUAGGAGUAUGUGCUCGCUAUAUCGCUUUUUCUAACUCUCCACUGUGCACCCUAUUGUAGGCUAUGAUACUUGAGACGGUACCAAAACAGGCAACUGUUGCCUUAAUUGGCCGUAUUCAAGGUUUAGAAGGCUUUUAUGCAUCCAUUCAUUUUGCUUGCUUGCUUGCUUUCAACUUUGUAGCCUAUGUCUUACACAAACUCUUUGAUAGUCUUUAUGAAUGUGUGUAUCCAAUUGGUCAUUGAUCAAUACAAGUCAUAUAUACAACUUUCAGCAACGGAUCUCUUGGCUCUCGCAUCGAUGAAGAACGCAGCGAAAUGCGAUAAGUAAUGUGAAUUGCAGAAUUCAGUGAAUCAUCGAAUCUUUGAACGCACCUUGCACUCCUUGGGUAUUCCGAGGAGUAUGCCUGUUUGAGUGUCAUUAUACUCUCAAAAACCUAACUGUUUUCUGAAUGGCUAGGCUUUUUGGAUGUGAGGGACUGCUGGCUUUCUAUUGAGUCCGGCUCCCUUUAAAUGCAUUAGUGGUUGCUUCAUUCACUAGAGUGUGAUAGUAUAUCUACGCUUGUUUACAGUGAACUGAUAUCAAGUCAUCUGCUUUCCAACCUGUCUUGAAACAUAACAAGACAUUUUGACUAUUUGACCUCAAAUCAGGUAGGACUACCCGCUGAACUUAA